GACGAACGCUGGCGGCGUGCCUAAUACAUGCAAGUAGAACGCUGAAGGAGGAGCUUACUUCUCUGGAUGAGUUGCGAACGGGUGAGUAACGCGUAGGUAACCUGCCUGGUAGCGGGGGAUAACUAUUGGAAACGAUAGCUAAUACCGCAUAAGAGUAGAUGUUGCAUGACAUUUACUUAAAAGGUGCAAUUGCACCACUACCAGAUUGACCUGCGUUGUAUUAGCUAGUUGGUGGGGUAACGGCUUACCAAGGCGACGAUACAUAGCCGACCUGAGAGGGUGAUCGGCCACACUGGAACUGAGACACGGCCCAGACUCCUACGGGAGGCAGCAGUAGGGAAUCUUCGGCAAUGGACGGAAGUCUGACCGAGCAACGCCGCGUGAGUGAAGAAGGUUUUCGGAUCGUAAAGCUCUGUUGUAAGAGAAGGACGAGUGUGAGAGUGGAAAGUUCACACUGUGGCGGUAUCUUACCAGAAAGGGACGGCUAACUACGUGCCAGCCGCCGCCGUAA
Molecule: ribosomal RNA, 511 nt
Filed under: uncultured bacterium
Lineage: Bacteria
Description: partial 16S ribosomal RNA
Rfam family: Bacterial small subunit ribosomal RNA
Source: RNAcentral